Lepisosteus oculatus (spotted gar) is the source of this 516-nucleotide non-coding RNA. The record is from RefSeq and is a predicted model, not a curated record. NCBI's taxonomy places the organism in Eukaryota, Metazoa, Chordata, Actinopteri, Semionotiformes, Lepisosteidae.
GUAAGCCGUUUGGAGGAUCUGGAUGGUUUUAACCUUUACUGCAGCAGGGGAGAGUCGGGACUAUUUCUUUACGUGCGCAAAUUAAUACACCCAUUUAGGGUAUUUCAUAACCUGCAGUCAUGCACUGGUGCUAUGAGCAAAUAUUUUAAAAAACGUGUGUAAAAUCUAAGCAGAAAUCGUCAUAAGAUAGUCCGGUGGAAAAUGAUUAAACUCGAAAUCAGAGGAUUGAAAUGGAAACUAAACAUUUUAAGUGACAAUAAAGUCCACAACACAUGUUCUACAGGCUUCUUAAACGGGACAAUGGUCGCAAAUGAAGCUUACGGUCAAAGAUCAAAAAGAUCACUGAUCAACUUGUGCUUGACUUUGCAAAAGGCGCUCCACUGUCAACCGAGUUUUGUGUAAUUGCUGUUUUAACUCCUGUAUUUGGAAGCGGUUUGGUCUCACUUGCCUAGUGGUUUCACCUUGACAAACGCAUUCAUGAAUAAAAAAGCCCACUGGGAUUAGUUUUUAUUUACA